CUGUCCUACGGGACGCAGCAGUGGGGGAUAUUGCACAAUGGGGGGAACCCUGAUGCAGCGACGCCGCGUGGGUGAAGAAGUAUUUCGGUAUGUAAAGCCCUAUCGGCAGGGAAGAAUUUAGACGGUACCUGACUAAGAAGCCCCGGCUAACUACGUGCCAGCAGCCGCGGUAAUACGUAGGGGGCAAGCGUUAUCCGGAUUCACUGGGUGUAAAGGGAGCGUAGAAGGCGACGCAAGUCUGGAGUGAAAGCCCGGGGCCCAACCCCGGGACUGCUCUGGAAACUGCGUCGCUGGGGUACGGGAGG
This 305-nucleotide ribosomal RNA is filed under the name uncultured bacterium. RNAcentral's name for it is "bacterial SSU rRNA". It matches the Rfam family "Bacterial small subunit ribosomal RNA", at positions 334 to 655 of the family's 1533-position model. The record is from RNAcentral.